CCUACGGGAGGCAGCAGUGAGGAAUAUUGGUCAAUGGGCGUAAGCCUGAACCAGCCAAGUCGCGUGAGGGAUGAAGGUUUUAUGGAUCGUAAACCUCUUUUAUAAGGGAGUAAAGUGCGGGGCGUGUCCCGUUUUGUAUGUACCUUAUGUAUGAGGAUCGGCUAACUCCGUGCCAGCAGCCGCGGUAAUACGGAGGAUCCGAGCGUUAUCCGGAUUUAGUGGGUUUAAAGGGUGAGUAGGCGGGCUUUUAAGUCAGCGGUGAAAGUCUGUGGCUCAACCAUAGAAUUGCAGUUGAAACUGGGGGGCUGGAGUAUGUGUGAGGCAGGCGGAAUGCGUGGUGUAGCGGUGAAAUGCUUAGAUAUCACGCAGAACCCCGAUUGCGAAGGCAGCCUGCCAAGCCAUGACUGACGCUGAUGCACGAAAGCGUGGGGAUCAAACAGGAUUAGAUACCCGGGUAGUC
RNAcentral lists this ribosomal RNA (460 nucleotides) under uncultured bacterium. RNAcentral describes it as "partial 16S ribosomal RNA". It matches the Rfam family "Bacterial small subunit ribosomal RNA", at positions 338 to 795 of the family's 1533-position model. The record is from RNAcentral.